This 443-nucleotide ribosomal RNA is filed under the name uncultured bacterium. RNAcentral describes it as "partial 16S ribosomal RNA". It matches the Rfam family "Bacterial small subunit ribosomal RNA", at positions 338 to 795 of the family's 1533-position model. The record is from RNAcentral.
CCUACGGGCGACAGCAGUGGGGAAUAUUGGGCAAUGGGCGCAAGCCUGACCCAGCAACGCCGCGUGAAGGAAGAAGGCUUUCGGGUUGUAAACUUCUUUUCUCAGGGACGAAGCAAGUGACGGUACCGGAGGAAUAAGCCACGGCUAACUACGGGCCAGCAGCCGCGGUAAUACGUAGGUGGCAAGCGUUAUCCGGAUUUACUGGGUGUAAAGGGCGUGUAGGCGGGAAAGCAAGUCAGAUGUGAAAACCAUGGGCUCAACCUGUGGCCUGCAUUUGAAACGGUUUUUCUUGAGUACUGGAGAGGCAGCCGGAAUUCCUAGUGUAGCGGUGAACUGCGUAGAUAUUAGGAGGAACACCAGUGGCGACGGCGGUCUGCUGGACAGCAACUGACGCUGAGGCGCGAAAGCGUGGGGAGCACACAGGAUUAGAUACCCGGGUAGUC